GGUGAAUUACAAGAGGGAAUCCUUAUUUGUAGCUGAGGUCAAAAUCCAGAAGAUCAAUUUGAGUAACUACGAGGCUUUGGGAGAGGCUUGAGGGAGCGGAGAGGAGGUGUUCAAGGCGAACGAACCUGGAGUGUUGAAAGGCGAAUGGGUGCACAGGCAGAGGGUAACAGACAAAAUAUCAGUAAAACAAAACACUGACAGCGUGUGAUUAUA
Non-coding RNA from Pelobates cultripes (western spadefoot toad), 213 nucleotides. Lineage: Eukaryota; Metazoa; Chordata; Amphibia; Anura; Pelobatidae. The record is from the annotation of a GenBank genome assembly.